Paraburkholderia phenazinium is the source of this 78-nucleotide non-coding RNA. The record is from Rfam. NCBI's taxonomy places the organism in Bacteria, Pseudomonadati, Pseudomonadota, Betaproteobacteria, Burkholderiales, Burkholderiaceae.
CCCUCUCUCAGGUUCUAGCACGGCCCUCGGAAUGGCUAGAACUUUUUAAGGCGUCACGGUCACGUGACGCCUUUUUUU